AGCGAACGCUGGCGGCGUGCCUAACACAUGCAAGUCGGGCGAGAAAGGGGUGGCAACACCCUGAGUAAAGCGGCGAACGGGUGAGUAACGCGUGGGCAAUCUACCUUCCAGUCUGGGAUAACCUUCCGAAAGGGGGGCUAAUACCGGAUGAUGUCCUGUUGGGGCAUCCUGAGGGGAGCAAAGGGGGCGACCCGCAAGGGGCUCUCGCUGGAGGAGGAGCCUGCGUCCGAUUAGUCUAGNGGUGGGGUAACGGGCUCACCAAGGCGACGAUCGGUAGCCGGCCUGAGGAGGGUGGACCGGCCGACACUGGGACGUGAGACACGGCCCACGACUCCUACGGGAGGCAG
RNAcentral lists this ribosomal RNA (347 nucleotides) under uncultured bacterium. Its description in RNAcentral is "bacterial SSU rRNA". It matches the Rfam family "Bacterial small subunit ribosomal RNA", at positions 30 to 351 of the family's 1533-position model. The record is from RNAcentral.